GAAGUCGGCCAGGCAGUCGCUGUAUCGCCUUCGGGCGAUGGGGAGGAAAGUCCGGGCUCCACAGGGCAGGGUGCCAGGUAACGCCUGGGGGGCGCGAGCCUACGGAAAGUGCCACAGAAAA
This 121-nucleotide RNase P RNA is filed under the name Chromatiales bacterium. RNAcentral's name for it is "partial RNase P RNA component class A". It matches the Rfam family "Bacterial RNase P class A", at positions 1 to 121 of the family's 367-position model. From Rfam's summary of the family: Ribonuclease P (RNase P) is a ubiquitous endoribonuclease, found in archaea, bacteria and eukarya as well as chloroplasts and mitochondria. Its best characterised activity is the generation of mature 5'-ends of tRNAs by cleaving the 5'-leader elements of precursor-tRNAs. The record is from RNAcentral. Lineage: Bacteria; Pseudomonadati; Pseudomonadota; Gammaproteobacteria; Chromatiales.